CUUUCCUUAGCUGGACAGCCCUUCAUCUCUCUGACUGGUCCAUCUCAGAGGACAAGCCCUGGAGACUCGGUGCCUUUCAACUGUACUGCUGGCCCCUUCAACUCCCAGAACUUCUCCCGGGACUUCAAUGUUACCUGGUUGAAGGACAGUGAUGAACAUCCAGCCUCAGCUCAGCGCCUGGUGCCUGACAAUGGAGGCAAUGACUUCAUCACCAGCAAGGCAUGGGUGACACUGACGCGACAGGAUGUCUCAUCUGAGAUCACCUGCAAAGUCACCCACAGGGCCCUGGCAGACCCCCUGAAAACAACCAUGAAUCUCUCCCAAGUGCUCCGAGUUGUCCCCACCCUGAAGAUCACCACUGAACCCUCUGGGACCCAUGUACAUGUGCAAGACAGAGUGAAUCUCACCUGCCAUGUCCUCCACUUCUAUCCCACCCACCUGCGACUCACCUGGAUGGAGAACAGGCGCAUGAUCCAGACCCUGGUGUCCCCUCAGGUCACCAGAAAUCCAGAUGGGACAUACUCUCUGGAGCACACGUGGCAGGCAGAGGCCACGCUGGAGGAGCGUGAGUUUGCUUGCUGGGUGGUCCACGAUGAGCAGCCCCCACUCAAGACCAACGUCGCCCUGCAAGCCCGGUUGCAAGGCCCCCUUCAGCGAUCUGAGCCCGGCACAAGGAUCCGAUUGACCUACACAUCCUCUGGGUUCUCGACACACCAGGUUACUGUGACCUGGCUUAAAAACAAACACGAGCUCCCAAACCCCCAGACCAGCGUCCAGUACAGUGGACACACCUACAAUGUGACCAGCAGUGUGCUUGUCCUGCUGACGGAUGAUGAUGUGUUCUCCCACGUCGUUUGCCAUGUCGAGCACAAGUUGAUGCGGUUUUUCCAGAAAACCAUUGGCCUGGACCAGUACCUCCGGGUUCCUCCUACAGUGACAGUGUCCCAGUCUUCCACCUCCUCCAGCUUGGUGGCUGCUACUUGCCUCGUGCAGAGAUUCUAUCCACAAAACGUGCACCUCGCCUGGCUAGAGGACUGCCAUACACUCAAAGGCACUGAGCAACCCACAUUAAAGAAGAAUGAUGAUGGGUCCUACACCCUGGAAAACCUGCUGCUGGUGAAUGCAUCAGUGCAGGGGCCUGAGCGGGUGCUCACCUGCAUGGUGGAACAUGAGGGACAGCCUCCCAAACGGGCCAACCUCAUACUGUCCACAGCAGCCCACACCGCUUAUAAGCCCAUUGGGAGCACAGGUCCAGAGAUGCCUGCCCUUAUCUUUGUGGUUUUCCUCCUGGGCCUCAAGGUGCUGCUGGUGAUGAGUUUCACAGUGACCUACAUCUGCAGGAGGUGGAACCUGUGAUAG
RNAcentral lists this small RNA (1359 nucleotides) under Pongo abelii (Sumatran orangutan). RNAcentral describes it as "transcribed unitary pseudogene". Lineage: Eukaryota; Metazoa; Chordata; Mammalia; Primates; Hominidae. The record is from RNAcentral.